UUCAGAGGUCCCGAGCGUUGUUCGGAUUUACUGGGCGUAAAGGGAGCGUAGGCGGUUCGGUAUGUCGAAUGUGAAAGCCCACAACUCAACUGUGGAAAUGCAUUCGAAACUGCCGGGCUAGAGUACUGGAGAGGGAAGUGGAAUUCCAGGUGUAGCGGUGAAAUGCGUAGAUAUCGGGAGGAACACCGGUGGCGAAGGCGGCUUUCUGGCCAGUUACUGACGCUCAUGCGCGAAAGCUGGGGUAGCGAACCGGAUUAGAUACCCUGGUAGUCCCU
This 275-nucleotide ribosomal RNA is filed under the name uncultured prokaryote. RNAcentral's name for it is "partial 16S ribosomal RNA". It matches the Rfam family "Bacterial small subunit ribosomal RNA", at positions 524 to 798 of the family's 1533-position model. The record is from RNAcentral.